This 138-nucleotide small RNA is filed under the name Stutzerimonas stutzeri. Lineage: Bacteria; Pseudomonadati; Pseudomonadota; Gammaproteobacteria; Pseudomonadales; Pseudomonadaceae. The record is from RNAcentral.
CGUACUUAAGGACAAGUACAGCCGGCAAGGAUGUCGGUCUGGACCAGCCGCUGGAUGCGGUUUCAUCAGGACGGUGAGCAGGAAACAAAGGGAAGUAGGGAAGGAGGCGGGCGGGGCUUAAACCCCGCCCCUUUUUUU